Molecule: ribosomal RNA, 412 nt
Filed under: Bacillus licheniformis
Lineage: Bacteria; Bacillati; Bacillota; Bacilli; Caryophanales; Bacillaceae
Description: bacterial SSU rRNA
Rfam family: Bacterial small subunit ribosomal RNA
Source: RNAcentral
AUACAUGCAAGUCGAGCGGACAGAUGGGAGCUUGCUCCCUGAUGUCAGCGGCGGACGGGUGAGUAACACGUGGGUAACCUGCCUGUAAGACUGGGAUAACUCCGGGAAACCGGGGCUAAUACCGGAUGCUUGAUUGAACCGCAUGGUUCAAUUAUAAAAGGUGGCUUUUAGCUACCACUUACAGAUGGACCCGCGGCGCAUUAGCUAGUUGGUGAGGUAACGGCUCACCAAGGCAACGAUGCGUAGCCGACCUGAAAGGGUGAUCGGCCACACUGGGACUGAAACACGGCCCAAACUCCUACGGGAGGCAGCAGUAGGGAAUCUUCCGCAAUGGACGAAAGUCUGACGGAGCAACGCCGCGUGAGUGAUGAAGGUUUUCGGAUCGUAAAACUCUGUUGUUAGGGAAAAACAA